GGUUAUAGCUCAGUGGUAGAGCGCUCACCUACCAUGUGCGAGGCCCUGGGUUCGAUCCUCAGCACCA
This 67-nucleotide transfer RNA is filed under the name Ictidomys tridecemlineatus (thirteen-lined ground squirrel). Its description in RNAcentral is "Spermophilus tridecemlineatus (thirteen-lined ground squirrel) tRNA". It matches the Rfam family "tRNA". Rfam says of the family: Transfer RNA (tRNA) molecules are approximately 80 nucleotides in length. Their secondary structure includes four short double-helical elements and three loops (D, anti-codon, and T loops). Lineage: Eukaryota; Metazoa; Chordata; Mammalia; Rodentia; Sciuridae. The record is from Rfam by way of RNAcentral.